RNAcentral lists this long non-coding RNA (385 nucleotides) under Mus musculus (house mouse). Its description in RNAcentral is "lincRNA-EC139". The record is from RNAcentral. Lineage: Eukaryota; Metazoa; Chordata; Mammalia; Rodentia; Muridae.
GGUUACUUGCGCCCUCUAUAAAUGAAAGACGGUACCGCCAGUUCUGGGAAUCGCACAGGGGUGCGUACAAAUGGACCAGGACGCGGAGAGCACGGAAACAACGGUGCUGGGACCUUGUGCACAGAAUCCAGAUGCCAGAUGGGAAUUAAACAUUCGGCCGAGAAAAGCAAUCUAGUUCCCUGGGCUCGACUUUGACUCACUCCUUGGUCUGCACCAAUCCUCACAUCCCUCAGGUCCUCUAACUUUUACGACAGUAUCCAGAAAUCGAUUCUUUGGUCUCUACGGCUCCAGAAGGCUCGCUCAUCAAGGAACCAGGAAGCUGAGCGGCACCAUAGGUGUUGCUAACCAAGCAUAGCAGCAUAAUAAAAAUGGAGUGAUUAAAUGU